GUUUUUUUUUUUUUUUUUUUUUUUUUUUUUUUUUUUUUUUUUUCUC
RNAcentral lists this non-coding RNA (46 nucleotides) under Prorocentrum micans. Lineage: Eukaryota; Dinophyceae; Prorocentrales; Prorocentraceae. The record is from RNAcentral.